Long non-coding RNA from Columba livia (rock pigeon), 5713 nucleotides. RefSeq lists it as uncharacterized. The record is from RefSeq and is a predicted model, not a curated record. The transcript has 3 exons. Lineage: Eukaryota; Metazoa; Chordata; Aves; Columbiformes; Columbidae.
GUGUUUUUACCUUUCAGGGGCUGGAAACCAGCAUACCUCAACACUGUUCGAAAAUCUGAUGGCACGAGUCCUCACCAGAUAUAAAGUACCAUGUCUCCAAAUUUGCAGAAUCACAGGAUGGUUGAGGUUCGAAGGGUUGAAAACAAAUUCUUGAGGAAUGGCUGUUGCUGCCUACUGAAUUGUCUACAAAGACAUAAUAUUUUAUUUUCACGAUGAACCGUGUUUAGAACCAAUAGAGGAAAAAAACAUCAAGAUUCUGUCACCUGUUAUUAGCCACUCACAUGCUGGAGCAGGGGAAAGGUGUGAAGAGGAAGAAGGAGCAGCAGAGAGGAGCUGAUACGGACUGACCACAGCCUCUGUCCCCCAUCCCCUGCUCUCCUUGGGCUGGGGAAGGUAGAGGAGUACAGAAUGAAGGACUGAAGUUGAGCCUGGGUAAGGGUGAGAAAGUGUUAUUUUAUUUAUUUUUUUUUUUUACUUUGCUUCUCACUACCCAAACCUUAUUUUAAUUGGCAGUGAAUUAAAUUAGUUUUCCCCAAGUCAAGUCUGUUUUGCCCGUGAUGGAAAUUGAUAAGGGACUUCUUUGUCUAUCUUGCCCCUUGACCUUUUCUGUUUUAUUUUCUCACCUUGUCCUGUUGAGGAGAGUGAAUGAGAGAGCACCUGGGUGGGCAUCUGGCAUUUGGCCAAGGUCAUCCCACCACAGAAGGAAAGAUUUUUGGGGCAUGAAAGAAAAAGACUUUAUAGAGAGCCUACAAUAUCAGGAAAAAACCCGUUCAAGAUACUAACAUUCUUUAGAAAAAAAAAGAGAUCUUAUCCUAGCAAAAAGCCACCUAUCUGCCCUCUUAAAUGUCAUAUAUUUCUAGUCUGCUACUAAGGCGGAACACAUCCUAAAGAUAUUUGGUAUAUUUUUCACUGAGCAGUUAUUCUUUGUUCCAGACCUCAAAUACCAAUAGAAUUAAACAGAAUACAUGCUUAAUAAAAAUCACUAAGUUUAGAUGGAACCAAUGUAUUUAGUUAUAUACAUGAAUUAUUUUGCUUAAAAAGUGUAGCAUAUUUUAAAACAUUUUGUCUUCCUGAAGUUUCCUGUACUUGCAAUGAAGAAUAUAGUACAAUAUAUAUGAUCUUUCCAACCAGAGCUGCUAUGUAAGUGUAGUAAUAAAAGACUGUGCACACAAAAACAGAGACCAUGGGUUUCUGAUAAUUUGUGAGCUUCUGUCUGUGUUUAAUCCUGGUGUAGUUCACCCAAGGGGAAUAAAAGUGACAUAUAAUAUGGGGUGAAAGAGUACAUUUGGUUCAGUGGAGAUUGUCUCAAUAUUUUGCAGUUUGUGAGUUACAUUUCUGGUUAGAAUGAAUGUCUCCUUAAUGUCAAGUUGUUCCCAAGAUAAAAUAUAGAAUCCAUUUCCACCGAGGUACUGCUGCCAGUGUCUCAAUUCUUUCUAAUGUAUAUAUGCGUAAACUUUGCUUUCAAUCCAAAAUGACAAUCUAGAGACUGAAAAACUAAACUAACUUAUCUGUAUGCAUAUACUCAAUAACAUAUUUGCAUUAUUAUUGGAAAAAAUGUUAAUAAGAGAGUUGUUCUGUGUUGGUAAACCUGUGAAGAAGAUACCAAUGUUAUGCAUCUCUGAAAUUUAUUAGACAUAAAAACUUGCAGUGGCUGAAAACAAGGCAGCUAAGUUGAAACUAACAGUAAAACUCCAAACAUUUACAGUUAUAGCAUUUAAUCCCUGGAACAGAUUAAAGAAGAGAUACUUGGAUUUGUCUUUGACACAGAGCCUGUAAAUUGAAAGCGGUGUCUGUCUGAAAGAUAGAGUGUGGUUCCGUCAUGAGCUGAACUAAGCACAGGACACAGGAAUGGCUGAAAUAAGUGACACUUCUUCUGUUGCACAUAAUGUCAGACUACAUUCCCAAAAUGGUUGCUUCAGGUUUAAACAUCUGUGAGUUUCUCUGUAUCUGCCUUGUUCACAUGUGAAGAGAUGAAAUAAUACUGCAUGGUCAAGAAAGGAAAUUCUCUUAGACAUAGCUGUCAGAAAAAUAAUGUUAAAGAAAUUGUGGGAAACUGAUAAGCUCAAACACCACCCUGAAUUUUUAAAGACAUGGGAGAAUGGUUGAGCUACUAAUCUGAUUUAACAUGUAAUUUAGCUUUAUGUUGUUUGCAAGAAGGUUGACUUGUAGUUGUAAAAUGAACUUGCAGAUGUCUGAAAGUUGUUCAAAUAAAUAUGGACAACUAGCUGUCAGAAAAAAAAAACAAAAAACAACCAAACAAAUCAGAAGUCAUGUCUUAAAGGAAGUUAAUUUACUUGCAUGCAUUUCAUGAUUGCUUUUUUUUUUUUUUUUUCCCUGUGUGGUUAGAAUAGCAUGAAGUAAUUUUGCACCAGUUUUGGAUAACUCCACGAAUGCCAUUUUUUAAUGCUCUCAGAUUUAUGGAAAGGUGCAUAUGAUAUGUGUUUUAUUCCAAUCAUCCCUUGAAGAAUCAGAUGAUAGCCCUUAGUUAGAAGUGAAAUACCAGGCUAGAUAUACUGUUCUUGUGUUUGCUAUGCCAAAAUCUUGUGUUUCUAUGGCAACAGAGUUAAUCUAUCCUGUUUCAAUUGGAUGAACCCUGAUAAAUUUUGCUACCCUAAGUAAUCUCAACUGUAGUCCUAGUGACAUUAGAUUGCAUAAAAUAAAUUGUCUGAGUCUAGUCUUUGCCACUGUUUAACCAAGACACAUUAAAAGAAUUUGAGUAAGGUAGAACAGCAAUACCUAUCCAGGACUACAUCCCGAUAAGCAAAAACUGCCUUCUCUAAGUCGUGUUUCCUUAGCUACUGAAGUAACUAAGUCUACACAAUCUGAUUUUCUGCUUUUUAUCUGAUCACCUGCAAUGGAUGCAUUUUGAGACUUAACCUCUUUAAAAAUUUAAAUUUUAGUUGAACCACCUUGCCACAAAAUCUUGCAGAAGUUCAGCUAGGAAGACACUCUCGCAAUAUUCCUAUGCUUGGCUUUCAGCAUCCUGAGUCAGUGAACCCUGUAGAAAAACAGGAUCUUGUAUCCAGCUCCCAUAAAUACCCAGAUACACCAAAUGCUUCAACUCAACCUUGUCUGCUGUGCCAGAAAUGCAGAUAGAAAUAUGGUUUUGAACCAAAUAAAGAUGGCUAUAGAUUGUUAUGUUUAAAAGAAAAAAAAAAAAAGCUUAUUUUUAGUGCAAAGAAACUCAUAUGUCAGUUAAGAAACAGCUGCAUAUCAUGCUUGUCUGCUCUUUGUAUUUGGCCUUAGGCUGUGGCUUCUUAAGGAGUUAGAGACUCAUUCCCUGUGGUAGGCAGUGGAAGACUUAUUUCCUGUGAAGUUUCCUUCUUCAGAUGAACUUAGAAUUAGUAAAGACGUCUCUGCUUCUGUAGUUAUUUCUUUUUUUCCAGACCUGCUCUUGGCCUUCUUCCUCAAAACAAGGCUUAAAACUUAAAAGGGAAUUUACAUAGUUUUCAAGUUUCUUUGUCAAAUGACCCUGGAUGAGUGUCAUCAGUUUAUUAUACUUUUUUUAUAGGUGGUUUGUUACUUCACUUUCCCUUUAAUUCUUCAAAUUUGGAAGUGUAAAGCAGUGAACACAACCUCUUUUGUUCAUAGUUUGUGCCACUUGGUUGAGGAAUCAUGAGAAUUUAGGGACAUCACCUCUGUGAUAGACAUAAAAUUUGUUUUCCAACUAUACUAGAUUCAAGCUCACUCUGGAGGAAAAGGACAACAGAAAGGGGAAAAAAAAAUAUUGAUUUCCAAAACUAAAUUCACAUUCUAACCCAUAUAUAGGCAAAGUCCUAAUGAAACUUCACACAUAUUGCAUGAGAAAGAGGCCUUGAUAUAUGUAAUACUUCAAUAUAAAAGCAAGCAAAAUGCUCCUUAGACCUCAUUUUAAAACUGCAGUUCAAUCAGCAUACUCCAGAUGGCACGCAAUGAUGAUAAAAUUAUGCAUGUGCUACUUUGAGGGAUGGAAUAUGCAAACAGAAGUAGCUUGUUAACACAAAGCCUCUGAAAACCACUUUCAGGACUGACACGGUCCUCUGCACACUCAGAAAAGAAAACCUUUGAUUCUUUAAAACAGAUAGUGUUUGGGAAAACAAACAAAACAACCCCUUCUGUGUUAAUAUCAAUUAUAAUGCAGGAAACACAAAUGUUUGAAGAAUUACUAUCCUUUAUAUGCUAAUAAGUAUUGAAUGGCAGAUGUUUUCCAAGCAGACAUGAUUAAUUCAGCCCUAAGUUACAAAGAACUAUGAGAUAUAUGAAUUUUUAAGACAGAAUAUUAUUUGAAUGUAAUUAGAAGAGAUAUACAAAUAACUUCUUAUAUUAGAGAUGUUACACUACCUUUUCCUCAUUUUAAGAAAAAAAUCCUCCUGAUUAAUUCUAAUUAAAAUGGGUACUGCAAACUGGAGAAGGAAACCAUAUCUGAAUAUUCAUGUGCUUAAAUUUCAAGAAUAAUUCCAUGAGACAUCAUACAUGCCUGUACGUACGACACAAGAUAGAAGACAACUCACUGAUUGCAUUUUAGCAACCGAUCAAACCCCAUAUUGUAUAAAAAUUUUACAGAAUGAAGCUGUAGAAGUUGGUGAGGCUUUUGAAUUGUGAGAUAAAGUCUGUAUUUCAAGUGAAAUACUGAAUUGUAAAGGAUGUUGGUGAUGGUUUUGACUUUGUGCUGGAUGAGGACUAUGUUUUUGAAUAAUUGCAGAAAUAAUACAAAGCAAUUUCUGGAACUUCUACAGUUUCAGUGUUCAUAGAAUUUCUGACAAAACUGCAGUUAUGUUACAGAAAUCCUUCAAAGGGCUUGCAAAUUAGCCUCCUUGCUUUGCUGGCCAAAAGACAACCUUCAGGCCUCAUGAAAAUGGAUUUCCUGAAGCACUGGGCCCAUCUUAGGCUAGGCAAACGGUAAAGGGGUUGUCUAAAAGCAACAGAAAAUGGCACUAGUAGAGCAGCUUUCCCUACAACAACGCUCUGAAGUGUAUUUAUUUUAAAUAGUUUGUUCUGUAUUCUAGGUGGUUUUAGAUAAAAGCCACAGCAAUGCUCUUUGUAAAUGCACAAAUCUAGGUAAGCACCGUAUUGUGCGAGGGGGCAAGGUUUACUUUUUGUAGUUCCACACAUUGAUUCUGAUGAACAUUUCAUGCAAAAGGAGUUUCUGUAGUAGAACAUUUCAGAAUUCAUGAAUAGUAAUUGAGCCCUUUAGUUCUGCACUAAACUUAAAUCCAUUAUUCUCCAUUUAAAGCAGACACAUCAUGUUGCUCUACAGAACACUGCUCUGUCAAUUCAGUGCUUUUUUCAGUGAGCUGGGCUAGAAUAUUAAGCACUCUUUGCUCUCAGUAUUCUUGCUGUGCUUGGCACAUUUGGAUUCCAUUUGAAAUAGGCAAAUAGCAAUUCUGUUGUUCAUAAUGAAUAGCCUAUACGUGUAUAUGCACCUUGCCUUUGAAAAGGGGAGCAUAUAUUAUUUGCCACAUCUUGAAUCUUUGGCAACCAGCCUGCUUCAUUUCCUUUCUCUCUUUCUCUGCACAUAAGCACUGAAAUGUAAAAUGUAAUAAAAGUCUCUGACAGAUUUCUGUCUUCUAUACCAAACAAACCAGUCUGCUUUGGCAUUCAAAGUGUACAUAUUUUUUUCUGUCAUAGAUAAAUUAAAGAAAAGCAUGUAAAAACAAAGAGUUAAGUAAGAAAGAUUCAAGUUUCUAAAAGUCCCCUUCCAUGCUGAACAUUUUCAAGCAUUUGCUAGAAUGUA